RNAcentral lists this ribosomal RNA (422 nucleotides) under uncultured bacterium. RNAcentral describes it as "bacterial SSU rRNA". It matches the Rfam family "Bacterial small subunit ribosomal RNA", at positions 358 to 773 of the family's 1533-position model. The record is from RNAcentral.
GGAAUCUUGCGCAAUGGGCGAAAGCCUGACGCAGCGACGCCGCGUGAGUGAUGAAGGCCUUCGGGUUGUAAAGCUCUGUGGAGAGGGACGAAUAAGUGUGGUCGAAUAGGCCGCAUGAUGACGGUACCUUUUUAGCAAGCACCGGCUAACUCUGUGCCAGCAGCCGCGGUAAGACAGAGGGUGCAAACGUUGUUCGGAAUUACUGGGCGUAAAGCGCGUGUAGGCUGCUUGGAAAGUCGGAUGUGAAAGCCCUGGGCUCAACCUAGGAAGUGCAUUCGAAACUUCCAAGCUCGAGUUUCGGAGAGGAAGGCGGAAUUCUCGGUGUAGAGGUGAAAUUCGUAGAUAUCGAGAGGAACAUCGGUGGCGAAGGCGACCUUCUGGACGAUGACUGACGCUGAGACGCGAAAGCGUGGGGAGCAAAC